Astatotilapia calliptera (eastern happy) is the source of this 1403-nucleotide long non-coding RNA. The record is from Ensembl. Lineage: Eukaryota; Metazoa; Chordata; Actinopteri; Cichliformes; Cichlidae.
GUGGGGUUUGUGUUUGAAAUUUAGUGAAGCAGGUAUUUUUGCCAUUUGGACAAAAGGACUAGCUUUGAACCACAAGCUUUUUGCUAUUUGCACUACAUACACUUCUAUUUCCUCGUCGUAUUUGAUUUAAACCAACAAGUGUCUUUAAUGAGUUUUAUGUUCAGGAUCAUGCAACUGCUUUAGUGAAACAUUUCAAUACUGACACCUGUGCUUCAAAUCUAACAAUUUUGAAAACCUGAAAAAGUACAACAGAAUGCACAAAGGGACAAACAUAGAGGAGUACCUGUGGGAUUUGAAAUUGCAAUAUAUGAACCAUGGGAUAAGACGAAAACCAGCAUCCACAAUGACCUUUCACAGCUGGAGGGUACAGCAUAAUUUGAACAAUAGGUUCAGUGUGGCCAAAGAGUGAAAAGAGAGGGAAAGGGAUCUGGACUGACGGGGUGGAGUUCCUAGAAGGCUGAUCAGGAGAUUCAACAGUUACAAGUACCCUGGCUCCUUAAAAAGCAUUAUCUCUCUUCAAGCAAUGGAAAUGUGGAGGAUUAAUGAAUGUCCGAGUCACAAUCCGACAUGAAACAUGAAGCAUUCAUCUAUUAUUUCUAUUCUAUCUGUACAUCUGUUACAGCUCCUGGAUAACAUUCUCCAUAAAAUACUUUUGGAAGUGAUUGCUUCAUCUUUUAUACAGACCUAUCUGUUGUUGGACUGCAAGUGCUCCCUGAAUGCACAAUUGAAAUCAUUAGAACCACAGCAGAAAGUAACUGAAUCUUGACUUAUAUGUAUGAAACGUGUUAAACCGGCUCUAAAUAAAAAGUGUUGAAAUGCUAGAACAAACAAGUUUCCAGAUAUCAUCUUCAAAACAUCCAUUGUGUUAUUAUACGGUGGGAUAUGUUUUUGGAAUCCAGUACAGCAGGCAUGGUGAGGGACUUCUCAUGAACCACAAGGUUUUUGUUUUCUGUUUGCACUUUUGAUUCAGUAACAAAAUAUCAGCAGUCAAUAGACCUUGUGUCUCACAAUCUUCCUCCUUUCUUACCUUACUGUAUGGCCUUUCACGUCGCAGAUUUGAUUUGAACCAGGAACUGCCCUAUAUACAGUAUAUGUUAUUUAAAUAAGAGUUGUAAAAUGCAGAAGAUUUCCUGUUUCAUGUUCAGGAUUAUGAAUGCAGCUGCAUUAGUGAAACAUUCCAAUACUGAUACCUGUGCCUUAAGUCUAUGAUUAAAGACAGAACACACAAAAAGUCAAAUAUAGGGGGCUAGAUGUGGGAUCUAAAAUGUAAGUAUAUAGCAAAAGGAAUGGAGAGGUGGUAUCUUAAACGUGUAUUGUAGGGUCUUUAGCAUACAAUAUAACCAAACUUAAGGUAACUGUAUCUGUUAUUUAGUGCUAAAUUAAUAAAAUUGAACUGAACUAAA